RNAcentral lists this ribosomal RNA (468 nucleotides) under uncultured bacterium. RNAcentral's name for it is "partial 16S ribosomal RNA". It matches the Rfam family "Bacterial small subunit ribosomal RNA", at positions 28 to 507 of the family's 1533-position model. The record is from RNAcentral.
GACGAACGCUGGCGGCGUGCUUAACACAUGCAAGUCGAACGGAAAGGCCCUGCUUUUGUGGGGUGCUCGAGUGGGGAACGGGUGAGUAACACGUGAGUAACCUGCCCUUGACUUUGGGAUAACUUAAGGAAACUGGGGCUAAUACCGGAUAGGAGCUCCUGCUGCAUGGGGGGGGUUGGAAAGUUUCGGCGGUUGGGGAUGGACUCGCGGCUUAUCAGCUUGUUGGUGGGGUAGUGGCUUACCAAGGCUUUGACGGGUAGCCGGCCUGAGAGGGUGACCGGCCACAUUGGGACUGAGAUACGGCCCAGACUCCUACGGGAGGCAGCAGUGGGGAAUAUUGCACAAUGGGCGGAAGCCUGAUGCAGCAACGCCGCGUGCGGGAUGACGGCCUUCGGGUUGUAAACCGCUUUCGCCUGUGACGAAGCGUGAGUGACGGUAAUGGGUAAAGAAGCACCGGCUAACUACGUG